AUCAAAACCUUGAACAAGAAUUUAUCGUUAUUCGUAAUCAUAACUUUCUUGUCUCAGUUACGACGUAACAAUCUCAUAGUUGUAUUUCAUUUAACAUACAUACAGCGGUACAAGCAUAUAAACGAACUGUCAAAAGAAAGCGUGCUUCAAUGGAUACAGAAGUUUACGAACUAGAAUUAAUACGCCAAGAUAUUGUAAAAAAUCACCUUCGACUUACAGCUUUAAUACAGGAUAUACAACAAUGUACCGGUCCUUUAGAAUUACUCAUGGAAUUGAAUGCGGAAGGCAGAGCAAAACUAGAAGCAUUGCAAUCAUCCAUAUGUAAGUUAGCAUCAAUAGCGGAAAGAGAACUUUUGGAGAAGAAAAAAGCAGAAUUAUUAGCAGAAUUAGAUACUUAUAAGCAACAAUCUAAAACAUCUUUAGCUGCGUUUCGUAAGGCCAAUGUUGUUAGUAUGUGCGUAAUAGAUAAACUUGCCAAGGAAGAACUACUAUCAAUGCCUGAAGAACAGCAAGCUCUUAUUCGUAGACGACACGAUAAACGGAGUCUGGCAAAUGCAUCGAGUCAGGUCUCGGAUAAACUCUUAAGUAUUUCUAGACACUUGGCGGAAACAACUCAAAGAAGCGCGGACACAUUGGAUACAUUAUUAACCUCGUCGGAUAAAGUUGUUAGUACCAAAGAUGAGUUGGAACAUCAACAGCAAGUUAUAGUUCAAUCUGGAAAGCUCUUAGGGAAAUACGGUCACCGAGAGCGCGUUAUCGAAUUACGAUUGACGUAAUUAAAUUCAGUUUACCGUGACCCGAAUGUAUCCGCGCUGGACUCUGACACUUGUUAAAUUUGAAAAUCAGUCCGCCGAGCUAAACCGGACCAGCGCAGCGUGCUUGCUGCUGAUACACGAGAAAAUCAUUCGAGGAUCGCAAACCCCUUUCGCGCAAAAUGCCGGUGCAGACUUUCUCUGCGAAAUGCUAUUAAUAGUUCAACAGCCUGGAAACCAACCAGCUAUUACGAACACUUCUCGAUCAUUGUUUAUCCACGCUGAAAGUAUCGCGGGUUCUCACACCUUGUCUGAAUUCAUCUUUACCUGUUUCAACUCCCGCGUGGCAAGAGGAAGAAAUAUCUCCCUAGCUCUCGUGACUUGUUUCUACCUGUAUAAUAUCUACGCGAUCUUCGUAAUUUUCUUCUCUUCCGACAGAGAGACAAGUUUAAUGAGAGCUGUUACGCGUAACAACAGUUUCUAUAAAAAAUUAAUGUUACGUAUCGCAAUAUUAUUACUAUACGCAACAACAAAAAGUGACAAUCGACACGUUUUUACAGAUACAGAUAAUGCAAACGGCAACCUUGACAUGAAAUCCGUACGAAGUAGGGCAGUUCUUAAUUAGUACAAGUUCGUUAUCACGCGAAGAGUUACAAAAAUUGAAUCGCGUUUCAAUGAAUGAACUCGUAUAAUUUCAUGUUUCGUUUAUGGAAUAAUUUAUAUUUCAAUACGCUAACUGCGACACGUCAUUUGUUUCUGAAUUUCCAAAAUACGCUCGACGAUCGAUUACAAUAAGAUUUGGGAAGAGACAGUGGCGAAGUGAGGAUAAACGAUAACAAGAUACCAAAGAAAUAAGUUAAGUACGCGAUUCGUUGUGUUUAUUUAAAGAUUCUCCUCUGAUCGUGAUUCGGGGAAAAACGGAAAUGCAGUUUCUACGCACCGACGAACCAGGUAAUAAAGUAGUCGUAAUUAAAUCAGUCUCCCUUAUGCGAUCGUGUGUUUUCUUGAGAUGGAAUCGAUGCACGUACGGAAUACGAAAAAGGUGUACGCUUUGCGAAUAAAAAUCACGCAUUGAUCCGCAUCGGAUAAUACAAGCAGAUAAAGCCCUCUCCGAGUGCAGCGCGAAAGAAACGCUCUCUUCUCAAUUAAACAGAACUGAACGGUAGAAAAUAAAUUGUAAGGUAAACUACAUUAUUAAUAAUUUGUGAAUUCGCAAAGGGUUACCCUACGCGAGAAAUAAGUUAUUAAUAAAUAAUAUCUUGAGCGUAUUUCUUCUGUUCGCAUUGUCAACAAAUACCGAACAAUGGAACUGACAAUGAGACAUUCGCAUCUUCGACCGACGCAUUUUUUCGAAGCGGUAGGGCAGCUUGGUCUUGGUGUAUAAAACAGCAGUAUCCAUGGAUUUUUGAAUCGUAAACUUACCGAGAAAAGGCAAGUGCCCUCAAGAUGAAAAUUAUGUUCGCAUUUUUAUUCUUGUUCACCACUGUACUCGCAGCACCGUGGCUCGAAAUUCUUUUCGGUGGACAGCCUCCUU
Molecule: RNA transcript, 2286 nt
Organism: Hylaeus volcanicus
Lineage: Eukaryota; Metazoa; Arthropoda; Insecta; Hymenoptera; Colletidae
Gene: Sec20
Gene name: vesicle transport protein SEC20
Exons: 6
Source: RefSeq, a predicted model, not a curated record